CCUACGGGGGGCAGCAGUGAGGAAUAUUGGUCAAUGGACGAGAGUCUGAACCAGCCAAGUAGCGUGAAGGAUGACUGCCCUAUGGGUUGUAAACUUCUUUUAUAUGGGAAUAAAAUGUUCCACGUGUGGGAUUUUGUAUGUACCAUAUGAAUAAGGAUCGGCUAACUCCGUGCCAGCAGCCGCGGUAAUACGGAGGAUCCGAGCGUUAUCCGGGUUUAUUGGGUUUAAAGGGAGCGUAGGUGGAUUGUUAAGUCAGUUGUGAAAUUUUGCGGCUCAACCGUAAAAUUGCAGUUGAAACUGGCAGUCUUGAGUACAGUAGAGGUGGGCGGAAUUCGUGGUGUAGCGGUGAAAUGCUUAGAUAUCACGAAGAACUCCGAUUGCGAAGGCAGCUCACUGGACUGCAACUGACACUGAGGCUCGAAAGUGUGGGUAUCAAACAGGAUUAGAUACCCCUGUAGUC
This 460-nucleotide ribosomal RNA is filed under the name uncultured bacterium. Its description in RNAcentral is "partial 16S ribosomal RNA". It matches the Rfam family "Bacterial small subunit ribosomal RNA", at positions 338 to 795 of the family's 1533-position model. The record is from RNAcentral.